CCCUCUCUUUAAAUUCGAGAUUUCUGAUAAAUUUACUUGUUUGAUGUCUCAUUUCUGUUCCAAGGAUUUCGUUUCCUAAUAGACCGAUUGGAAAAAUGUGUAAACAUUUCAAGUUUUUAGCAAAAAAUCUACUAAAAGUGUCGGGUAGCAAAGAAACAUAAAUUAAAAGAAGCUUCGUAAAACAAUUUUCGAAAUCGCGAGUUAGUAAUGUGGCGAUCUUAAGGUCAAGAUAGGUAUUUACUAUCCCGUGUUACGAAACUUUGGUUCAAUAUACUCUAGGGAGAAAUAUCUAAAAAUGUCUUUUUCAGCUUCCACGGGAUCCUUCCACUCAUUAAAUUCGUCGGGACAUAUGUCUUUUCCUGUUUUAAGAUUUAUGAUUUCGAACGAAUCAUAGCUUAGACCCAAAUGAGAGUUAGCAUAAAGCUUCAAAUCGCGAAGAAAAAAUAUUCCUCCACUCCAUCCUAAUACGGCAGAGCCUAUGUAUGCAGGCGGCACUACUAUAAUAUCAACACGCCUAUUGAUUUUAGAAGAAUUUGACAAAAUGACUGCUAGCAUUACAUAACCUUUCUUUCCUCCGCAAGAAUGUUCCUGAACAGAAAUUAGUCGGAAUUGAAAUUCCUCGUCUAAAAUUCUUAAGAGAACAUCCACCAGAUGUUUUGUAGAAUGAGUAUGUGAUGGACUCAACACCAUAUCAACGUCCGCUCCAACAGGCUUUCCCCGACGAAAUCCACCUACUAGACAAGACUGAAUUUUAAUUCCAUCCGGCAUCCGUGAGACAAUAGUUUCAUAAAUCUCCGUGGCUUCCUCAAUGGUUACAGUUUUACAAAAAUCUUCAUAAAACUCCAGACCAACUUUUAUUUGUUUGGUAAAUGAAUCUUUGUGCUUCCUAACUUGUUCAAUCGUACGCCAACCCUUUUGGUACCAUUCAGCAGCAUGAGAAGCACCAACUCCGAAAAUAUUGUAAAAUAAAAGCAAAAUUUUUGAAGCCGGAUCCUUCUGAAAUUCCUCAGCUUCUUUUAAGGUUCCCGUUGAUGCAAACUCUUUCCAAAGAUGUACUAUUUUGGGCCCACAACCGGGCAUUUUCUCUAAUUGUUCUGCGCUAUCGAUAGGCAAGGGAAAAGCUUUAAUGGUUGCAAUCGCCAUUCCGUAUGCCCUAGUCCUUACUGAUUCACCGUUUACUUCUCUGCAUGUUUUCAAGACACUUAAAGCAUUCACAAAGGCUUGAUUGACACAUUUAAGCGGUGUCUUUCUCUGGCACGCAUACCGUGGAAUUUCAAGAACGUAAGGGUAUUCUUUCGUAGUCGGAUAAACUGAUCCUUCUUGAUCAACAUUGUCAAUGCUUUUAACUUCGUUAUUAUUUUCUGUGUUUGGAGUUUCGUGGUUUUCAAAAUCGUUUGGUGCUUCAGUGUGCGAAGCAGGUCUUGUUGAAGGUGUGUACGGCGAGCCAACUUUCAUCUCUGGUUUUCGAUGCCAUAUCACAUAUGGAUUCCCGGGCGUUAAAGAUUCUUUAGGCUCGUUAAGCCAGUCAAUUUUAACAAUCAACUUACACGAUACACACGUCUCUAACGGUGUUCCAAUUGUUCUUAGCUCUCGCCGAACUCUGUUAAUUUGACUGUAAUUGACAAAAAUGUAAUCCGCUUUUGCUGCAUCGUUUGUGAAUUCUCCUCCAAAAUUUACAAUUUUUGAUCGCGCAUCUUCAUAUUGUGAAUUGGACAAGCGAUUAUGUAGUACAUAAUUUGUACUGCUUGCAAGAAUCUUCAUUUUGAACAAUUACAACUAAGGGAACAAAAAACGUAUUGCCUAUUAAUUGACCUUGUAAUAAAUUUCGAGGUUACCCAAUUCUUAGAACAAACUAAUAUGGAAAAUAAAAACAAGCUAAAGGCACAAUAAAGCAUCUACUAAGUUACAAAGCAAUGAUAGACAUGAUGAUGAAACCGACAUGUUUUAAGGUAAUUUUAUUUUAGAGCAAUGCAACUUUUCCUUAUGUGCUAAUAAUGACACAUUAAAAGGAAUAAAAAAAAUGUUAAUAAUACGUAAGCAAACUACUUUUGAAAUUACACUAUCAUACAGUUUCUUUAUUAUUUCUGUGCUAUUGUUUAAGUACUAUUGCAAAUCGCUUUGCAUUCUAUCCAGUUUAUCGCAAUCAUUUGCUUGUAAUUCAACUUAUCCCAAAGAAUUCUUUAGUUGUAUCAACAGUUCUACGGUGAAACUAAUAAUUCAAUAUACAAAAAUAC
Molecule: long non-coding RNA, 2234 nt
Filed under: Schizosaccharomyces pombe (fission yeast)
Lineage: Eukaryota; Fungi; Ascomycota; Schizosaccharomycetes; Schizosaccharomycetales; Schizosaccharomycetaceae
Source: RNAcentral